GCACAUGCUGUGAACGAGAGGAAAUCGGAAUUUCGGAGCCUCAGAGAGCCGGUGGAUGGUGAAAACCGGUGCGACGUAUCCGUGAUCUAUCACUCGUGAGCUUCCCAGCCGAAGGUAGUAGGCUUGGACGGAUGUCCCCGUUACGGAAUAGCCAUUAAAGUAUAAUGCAGGGUGGUACCGCGAUCUCGCCCCUGUCCCAGAGUGGACAGGGGCUUUUUAAUUUCCGGUACGCCCCUUGGCAGAGUAUAAAUGCAAGGUGGUACCACGCAAAAGCGUCCUUGCC
RNAcentral lists this non-coding RNA (283 nucleotides) under Dialister sp. RNAcentral describes it as "T-box sequence". It matches the Rfam family "T-box leader". From Rfam's summary of the family: Uncharged tRNA acts as the effector for transcription antitermination of genes in the T-box leader family. The record is from RNAcentral. Lineage: Bacteria; Bacillati; Bacillota; Negativicutes; Veillonellales; Veillonellaceae.